This 293-nucleotide ribosomal RNA is filed under the name uncultured Planctomycetota bacterium. RNAcentral describes it as "uncultured planctomycete partial 16S ribosomal RNA". The record is from RNAcentral. Lineage: Bacteria; Pseudomonadati; Planctomycetota.
GGACUACCGGGGUAUCUAAUCCCGUUCGCUCCCCUGGCUUUCGCGUCUCAGCGUCAGAAAGGGUCCAGGGCCUCGCUUUCGCCACGGGCGUUCCUUCCGAUCUCAACGCAUUUCACCGCUCCACCGGAAGUUCCAGACCCCCCUACCCCCCUCAAGGCCGCUCGUAUCGGUGCCCGUUCCCCGGUUGAGCCGGGGGAUUUCAGCAGCCGACGUGGCGGCCCGCCUACACGCGCUUUAAGCCCAGUGAUUCCGAAUAACGUUCGCACGGUUCGUCUUACCGCGGCUGCUGGCAC